RNAcentral lists this ribosomal RNA (425 nucleotides) under uncultured bacterium. RNAcentral describes it as "bacterial SSU rRNA". It matches the Rfam family "Bacterial small subunit ribosomal RNA", at positions 917 to 1344 of the family's 1533-position model. The record is from RNAcentral.
GGGCCCGCACAAGCGGUGGAGUAUGUGGUUUAAUUCGAUGCAACGCGAAGAACCUUACCAGGGUUUGACAUCCUGCGAAUCUCUUGGAAACGAGAGAGUGCCUUCGGGAACGCAGUGACAGGUGGUGCAUGGCUGUCGUCAGCUCGUGUCGUGAGAUGUUGGGUUAAGUCCCGCAACGAGCGCAACCCACGUCUUUAGUUGCCAGCAUUUAGUUGGGCACUCUAGAGAGACCGCCGGUGAUAAACCGGAGGAAGGUGUGGAUGACGUCAAAUCAUCACGGCCCUUACGUCCUGGGCUACACACGUGCUACAAUGGUGGGGACAGAGAGCAGCCACUUCGCGAGGAGGAGCGAAUCUUCAAACCCCAUCACAGUUCGGAUCGCAGUCUGCAACUCGACUGCGUGAAGCUGGAAUCGCUAGUAAUCG